AGAGUUAAAAGUACGUGAAAUUGCUAAAAGGGAAACAUUUGACACCAGUAUUUGGGAGUCGGAAAUCAGCCUCGGUAUACUGGGGUGCACUUUCCGGCUACCAGGUCAACAUCAGUUUCGUCUGCCGUAAAAAAGCCAAGAGAAGGUAGGUGUUAAUUCACUGUUAUAGCUCUGGCCGAUGCGGUGGAUGGGACUGAGGACUGCGGUGCAUGCCUUUGGCUGGGUUCGCGGCAGCUGUGUGGGACGGGGCUAUGGACAGCUUGCUGUGUUUGUUGAUUAGUAUGAUUCAUCACUGCUUACUACUAGUCAGUUAGAGAUGUUGACCGAAUGUUUUCAAUCGUCC
RNAcentral lists this ribosomal RNA (343 nucleotides) under uncultured fungus. RNAcentral describes it as "eukaryotic LSU rRNA". The record is from RNAcentral. Lineage: Eukaryota; Fungi.